This is a long non-coding RNA of Oncorhynchus tshawytscha (Chinook salmon), 4190 nucleotides long. The record is from Ensembl. NCBI's taxonomy places the organism in Eukaryota, Metazoa, Chordata, Actinopteri, Salmoniformes, Salmonidae.
CAGCAGCCUCGUGAUGGAAACCCAUUUCAUGAAGCUCCCGACGAACAGUUCUUGUGCUGACAUUGCUUCCGGAGGCAGUUUGGAACUCGGCAGUGAGUGUUGCAACAGCACUUACAGUUGACCGGGGCAGCUCUAGCAGAGCAGAAAUCUGAUGAACUGACUAGUUGGAAAGAUUGCAUCCUAUGACGGUGCCACGUUGAAAGUCACUGAGCUCCUCAGGAGACCUGAUUGGCUGACCUCGACCUUGCUUGGAGCCAUGUGACUGGAUCACACGAAGAAGCCUGCUGCAGAGCUCAUUUUAAGACAUCAGUUCAAUGGUGUUUGGUGUGUUUUUUUUAGUUUCUGCCUGGUUGUUCCGGCUGUUCUGCUUCCUCCUCCCUCCGCUAGUGGGAUGGCCACCCUACGGCAAGGCUUCCCGUGGCUGGGUUGAGGGCUUGCCGAGGCCUUUCCUCUGGCCGGCCAGCCAGUCACGUGAUGGACUAAAAGGAGAGAGGCCUGACGAGGCUGACGCGUUCUGAUGGAGUGAGGCCUUAUCACACGGACGGCCAUAUUGGAAGUGGAGGGUGCAGAUGGGACAGGGGUCGAUCAGAAAUCACUACAUAGAGAUAUGGACCUAUAGGACUGAUGGCUGACCCUGAGACUCAGAGUAAUGGGCUGCAGCUUGACUUCUGGGUUGUUUCAUUCAUCCACCAAACUACCCACUGACCCGGAGGACAUUUUGAGACAUUCAUUGCAAUGGACCCAUUUUUUUCAUUCUGUUUUUUUUUUUUUUUUGGGGGGGUCGUUGUUUGGGCCAGAGGAGGGGUGACUGAAAGGGGAGCGACUGGUUUUCGUUGUCUCCAUCCCUCUCCACCACUCUGGGCUUUCUAUGCAAGCCGAAGCUGCUCUUCUCCUUAAUACUGACAGAGACAGCCCUCCUCUUCCUCUGUUCAGUUUCAGGAGGAGAAACAUUCAAGUUCACGCUCUGUUGAAUCUGUAGUUGUUUUGUGUGAAAAGUUAUCAAUUGCCUACUUGAGUUCAUUCAGAGAGUCAAACUAUCCGUGUUUGUUGUUUUGUUGCUUUUUAUUUGUACAAGGCUUUUUAUUGUCGUGCGUUGUUCGUUCCACAGCAUUAGUCUCGUCACUAUUCAUGUUUUUGUAUUAUUUUAGCAGUUUAUUUGAAUUGUUUUUUUCUUUGUCUUGUUGGCUUGACGACCAUGUUUCCAUCUCACUCUCACCCAGUGGUAAAACAAACUCCUUAGGCUGUUUGUCCCUGUGUUGAACGCUACUGGCCUUUCUGUGGUGGCGGUGACAGCUGUCUCCUGGUUUCCUUUCCCAAAGGGUCAUGCAGCUUACAAAGUAGCUCCAAUGCAUCUGCUCCAGAUCCCAGCUGCUCAGCAAGGGCCCCGGCUUAAAGGGAGAGGACAUAUUUGUGCCUGGAGGUACUUUGGCUUAGAGAGAAGAGGAACGGAGAGGAGCAGAGAUGUACCAUCCUGGUGCUUUCCAAGCUGUGACCUGGCAGGUUGCACUAAUCAGAGGAGCUGCCUAGACUCUUCAGAUGCUGCCUCUAGUUCCAUCCAGCCGUCCAUCUUCACUGGGCACUGCAGAGGCUGGAGGGGGAGAGGGGUUCUCAGACAGGCAGGCAGGCAGGCAGGCAGCCCAGGUCGUAAAGUGCACAAGGCUUUUGUUUUGUCUGUUUAUGCACACUGUCUGGGACCUACAUGGCUAUAUGAGAACGGUCUGCAAGCCACAGUCUGGCUGUCGCUAGUCUCUCACCGAACUGCAUCAUGGGUUAUCUGCAGUUCUCCCUCAUCAAUGGACGUGUAAGAACACAAAGGGGAAACUCUCUAGAGCUGUCAGAGGAUGCUCAGUAGAUAUGACUGCACUCACUCUCCCUCUGUUCUGGCCUGUAGUGAUGGAGAGACGGGCAGCUCUCUCCCUCUGUUCUGGCCUGAAUUGAAGGAGAGACGGGCAGCUCUCUCCCUCUGUUCUGGCCUGUAGUGAUGGAGAGACGGGCAGCUCUCUCCUGUAAUAUUUAUUCUAGGACUUCUAGUUGUGGAGUGCUGUGUUACUGGGAGUUGGCACAUGCCCCUGUUAAUUUUUUGGUGAAUGAGCGCAAUUGCAAAAUGGAGUCUCUCCUGCAGGCCCACCUCCUCUCACCUCCCUCUCCUUUCCAACUAUCUCUGUCUGUGUGUGGCUGCAUGGUGUAAACAUUAGCCCCGCACAAUGUCCUUCCUAGUGGAUCAAGUCAGAUGCAAAUUUGCUUUGGGACACUGUCCCCAUCUCUGCCCCUCUCACUGUGGUUUCUGUUUAUAGUGUACAGAGGAAUUAGUUUUUUUGUUGGACGCUAUUGGAAAAUGUCCUACGCUUUCUGUCUUGUUAGCCUCCCCCCUUUCCGUUGUUGAUACAAUAUGAUAAACUGUGGAGUCCACCCCUUCAGUAGCCUCUGUUGUUAUUAACCCCUCCACCAGUAGCCUGUAUCCCCACUCUUGAAGCCCAUGAUGCCAUUUUAGUCCCCUCGUCACACACGUUCCCAAGCCGCCUCGACCUCAAGGAAAACAAGUCACAUUUCAACCUUGUCAUUUUAACCCUCACUUAUUUGUUGCUCUUGUUUUUGUUUGUUUUUGGUUCCAUGAGAUACUGCUCAUGAAUGCUUUGUGUUGUUAUUACUACCUGCCGGGAUAGACGAAGGUUGAGGGCCGAGCAGCUGCCCACAGAGGAGUGAUAGAGAGGUAUCACCGCGUCCACUCUUCUCCUGCUAAUGAUCCCCAUUAAUCCUGCCGCAGCCGCACAGCGCCCACUCAACCGCUUGUCUGUAAAUCAGUAAAUCUGAUUCGCCGUGAUGCUUUCCUUGCCCUUCAAGGAUCUGGCGUGCUUGGGAGAGCAGCACAGGAAAUCUGAACUAAUAAAUUAAAUUUUUUUGUGUGCGUGUGUGUGUUUUAUACAUAAAUGUGAUUUAGCGAAGCCGAUGGGAAUGACACGUUUGUUGUGGCAGCGGCGGUGAAACAGACCUCAAACAGACCAAAGUGGCGUUUCAUUCACCAAGAGAUCAGGCCAACGCUAUCAUGAACAAUUAAAUAGGCCGUGCUCAGAGCACUGCCCCCUGUAGGAGAGUCCAUUCAUUCCAGUAAUACUCUAAUAGUUCUCCUAAUCAGACACGUUCCAGUUGAAUUCCCCUGCUCAACACUAACAUAAGAGGCCUGUAGGAUCCAUAAUGAUCCAGUCACUAGAGAAAGGGGGAUCUCCAUUCAAGUCAAUGUUCAAUGACGUCUGGAACACCAUUCUAUUGCUUCUAUUUCUAUGGUAGGCUCAUCGAGGUUGACUUUGGUUCUGUCCUGUAGUGAUGUCAGUUCAUAUGUUACUGUUGUAUGAAUGUUGUUGACAGGUGACCUGGUUGAUAAGCCCUACUCUCACCACAAUACUGUUGAUGCUCAGCCUUGAUUGGAUGCUGGCACAGAUUAUAUUUCCCCCCCCCCCUGUCCUUUUCUCUGAAGUGGAGGGUUUAGGUUUUGUUUGGAAAUAUGUCUUGUCAUACAAUGGGAGAAGAGCCCGUGUUAGAAGAGCCCAUGCUUUUAACACGUUCUGUAUGGAGUGAGAUGGGAGGUGAGGUCAGAACCAGAUUAUAUAUUAAUAGUCAUUUAACGGGUCUGUUAAACCAGGACCUCUGCUGGUGAAAAAUGUUUUGUUUUUUUACGAUACGUGGAAAAAAGUGCUUGAUACAUUUUUUUUUGAGGAUCGAGUUUGGGGAUUUUUUUUUAUUUUUUUAAUACAGACAGAGAAAUUAGAUAAUGAUCAUACUCCCACAGCAGCCGUUGUUGAGAUGUUGUCUCACUGUGCUUGGGUAGUCUGUCAUUCCUUGUGUUACUCACGCCGCGGGAGGACAAUGUUCUUGUGGGAUUUCCUUUUCCUGUUUCUUUAUUCAUAAGCCCGCCCCCUAAACCCACACCCCUAAACCCUAAACCCCCCCUAAACCCACGUCCCCAGAGCAGUGGCUCAGUAUCAGUCAUCGGUACUUGAGAGAAAGAUGUUUACAGCUUUUUUUAAUUGCUAUGUUUUGUUUUGGUUCAUCCCCCUCUUUGCCCCUCCCCCUUACCCCCCCAAGGGUUUCUCUCUUAUGUAAAGUGUACAUUGCCACAUGUCUUUUUUUAUACAAUGCUGUAACUUGCCUUUGUACAUUUAGGCGAAAAAAUAAAUCUUUUUAUGAGACAAUCA